This 253-nucleotide ribosomal RNA is filed under the name uncultured bacterium. RNAcentral's name for it is "partial 16S ribosomal RNA". It matches the Rfam family "Bacterial small subunit ribosomal RNA", at positions 524 to 776 of the family's 1533-position model. The record is from RNAcentral.
UACAGAGGGUGCAAGCGUUAAUCGGAAUUACUGGGCGUAAAGCGCGCGCAGGCGGUCAUCUACGUCUGGGGUGAAAGCCCGGAGCUCAACUCCGGGAUUGCCUUGGAUACGGGAUGACUUGAGGAUCGGAGAGGCAAGGGGAAUUCCACGUGUAGCGGUGAAAUGCGUAGAGAUGUGGAGGAACACCUGUGGCGAAGGCGCCUUGCUGGCCGAUUUCUGACGCUGAGGCGCGAAAGCGUGGGGAGCAAACAGG